UACGGAGGGAGCUAGCGUUGUUCGGAAUUACUGGGCGUAAAGCGCACGUAGGCGGCUUUGUAAGUUAGAGGUGAAAGCCCGGGGCUCAACUCCGGAACUGCCUUUAAGACUGCAUCGCUUGAAUCCAGGAGAGGUGAGUGGAAUUCCGAGUGUAGAGGUGAAAUUCGUAGAUAUUCGGAAGAACACCAGUGGCGAAGGCGGGUUGCUGGGCCGACACUGACGCUGAUGCGCGAAAGCCAGGGGAGCGAACGGG
This 253-nucleotide ribosomal RNA is filed under the name uncultured bacterium. RNAcentral's name for it is "partial 16S ribosomal RNA". It matches the Rfam family "Bacterial small subunit ribosomal RNA", at positions 524 to 776 of the family's 1533-position model. The record is from RNAcentral.